RNAcentral lists this ribosomal RNA (473 nucleotides) under uncultured bacterium. RNAcentral's name for it is "bacterial SSU rRNA". It matches the Rfam family "Bacterial small subunit ribosomal RNA", at positions 335 to 799 of the family's 1533-position model. The record is from RNAcentral.
ACUCCUACGGGAGGCAGCAGUAGGGAAUCUUCCACAAUGGGCGAAAGCCUGAUGGAGCAACGCCGCGUGGGUGAAGAAGGUCUUCGGAUCGUAAAACCCUGUUGUUAGAGAAGAAAGUGCGUGAGAGUAACUGUUCACGUUUCGACGGUAUCUAACCAGAAAGCCACGGCUAACUACGUGCCAGCAGCCGCGGUAAUACGUAGGUGGCAAGCGUUAUCCGGAUUUAUUGGGCGUAAAGGGAACGCAGGCGGUCUUUUAAGUCUGAUGUGAAAGCCUUCGGCUUAACCGGAGUGGUGCAUUGGAAACUGGGAGACUUGAGUGCAGAAGAGGAGGGUGGAACUCCAUGUGUAGCGGUGAAAUGCGUAGAUAUAUGGAAGAACACCAGUGGCGAAAGCGGCUCUCUGGUCUGUAACUGACGCUGAGGUUCGAAAGCGUGGGUAGCAAACAGGAUUAGAUACCCUGGUAGGAUAGCG